AUGCUGGGUCCCCUCGUCCUCCUGUGCUCUCUCCUGUUUCCCAGCGGUGGAGCAGGGCUCAAGCUGGAUCAGCCUGCUUUGGUAGUGGAGCGCUUGGGCAGUUCACCCUCCCUGCAUUGCCAAGCUGACACCUCGGUCAGCUACAUCCACUGGUACCUCCACCAGGAGGGUAGUGCCCCCAAGAGGCUCCUCUACCUAGACAUGUCCAGAUCCUAUGUGCAGAGGGAUUUUGUCCUGAAUGCGAACAAAGUAAGUGCCAAGAAGGGCAGGGAGAGCAACAGCUGUACUCUGUCGGUGCUGAAGCUGGAGAAGAGCGACGAGGGCGUGUACUAUUGCGCUGCCUGGGAAGCGCACAGCCCUGUGCUCUCACCAGGUCCCUGA
Molecule: non-coding RNA, 381 nt
Organism: Odobenus rosmarus divergens (Pacific walrus)
Lineage: Eukaryota; Metazoa; Chordata; Mammalia; Carnivora; Odobenidae
Source: the annotation of a RefSeq genome assembly